Molecule: long non-coding RNA, 2514 nt
Organism: Cephus cinctus (wheat stem sawfly)
Lineage: Eukaryota; Metazoa; Arthropoda; Insecta; Hymenoptera; Cephidae
Exons: 3
Source: RefSeq, a predicted model, not a curated record
UCAUGAGAGUAAGUUAUUGACGUUGGAGAGAGGAUUGAUGUAAAAAAAAGAUGAGACACGGAGAGAAUAUAUUAUACAUGGCAUAACCUUAAAGAGUGCCAUUGCAAUUUGAAUGAAAUAAACAUGACAAUAGGAGUUCGUAGAUUGGCAGGUGUGUCAGGGUAUCAAUUUAGGAAUGUUUCUUCCUUUCUAAAUGAUAUCACACCGCCAAUCAAAGUCGGCAUCGUUAACAUGUAAAGUUGAUGAAAGAUGUAACAGAUUCGAAGAACUCUAAAAGGUCCGUUUAAUUGAUAUUGAUUCGUAUUCUAAAUGCGCAACGGAUACUUAACUAAUAUGGCGAGGUACAGGUGUAAUCCUACCGUAUUAUAAUAUAUACACGCCAUACAGGGCCAGCAGGUAGUAUUUAUUUACAUACAGGGACGCAUACAUAGAACAUAGCUUUGCCCAAUACAAAAAAAAAAUACCGUUUAAGGCUCUUAGUGUACCUAGCAACGCUCGCCGUACACACCGAAUCCGGGUGAAGGUCUACGGACACUAGAAGUGGUGCAACUUUCAGACCCAUCAACUAUGAGAAUCGAAUGUUGGUUUUCGACAAAACAAAAAGUAUGACGGUUCCGUGAAUUUUCUAUAGCAGAAAGCGAAUCAAACUUGAAUGUAGUGGAAAGGAAGUCGUACAGUGACAAUCCGAUUAGAAACCAGCCUUAAAGUGCCAUCUACAGGUGUCACAAAAAGUAAAAGGUAAUUUGGUCAGUGGAAGUCGAAAAUAGCUCUUGGCAAUAUACCAGCCGGUUUUCCUACCACGCUUAUCAAAUGCGGCAGCGACUCGAUUAAAUCGAUAAGAUAAUCGAUAUAUCGUUAACGAAAAAGGAAUUACAUUAUCGCUCUCACAUGACGCAUUUCGCGAAGUCUAAGAAUGAUAUUCCGAGGAACGAGUUUAUAGCAUGUGACUCAUAGUACGGUAUAAUGCAUAUAGUAAGUCCCAUAUAACAAGACCCAACAUAACUGAGCGAGUCCCCCGCGACUUCCCGCUUCGCCCCUCGCAAGAUCUUGGUAAUUCCUUUAUAAACCGGUGAAAAAAACGGUGAAAUCGCCGGACGUCGCGUACAUACAAACAGAGCCAAGUCGUGAAAGUUAAUGAGUAUAUAGACAUAGCGAAUCUAUUUUACCGAACGAACUUACUCAUAUUUUACAACAGCGUAACGGUCUCGGCGUUGGUGCGUUUGCGCUGAAAAAUUCGUUCACGGUGUAAACAGUGGGCAUGGCACGGGCUGCUCGCGGGACGGUUUAAAAAUACUCUAUGACAUCACGAAGACGCUUCAGAUAUUUGACGUCACGCAGCAUCAAACGAGUCAAGCCGGACUCACACGAUACCAUAAAUUUGUUGGAGCGCGUCUACGGUAUAGAGUUUAUCCAUUGUGCCUUACUGGGGGAGUUUGUGUACGAGAUAUAAAAUGAAAAUAAGAUUAUCUGUUAUCUUUUUUUUUUUAUAGAAUAAUAUCCUCUAUCGGAAUUCACGAUUAUCAAUCGAGCGUAGGCUUUUGGAAUUGCAACGUGGUUGUAUGUACGAUAUGUUAAUAUGAUUCAUAAAGUGGGCUAAAUAGGAUGUCGCAAAGUGGGGUCAAAUGCGACGACCCUCUAUGCUACAGUGCUGCACUCUGGGUCAAGCGAUCAGAUUCUAAUGGCUUUCUAAUGGUUGUUGACCGAUCGAUACUAAUUGCUCUAUCUUUUUUUUUCUUGGAUAUCGUGUCACGGAACUUGACUAUCUUCAAUGAAGCGGGUAGAGUAAAUAACUAAGAUCAACGAAGUGAACUAGUUCAAUAUGUAUCGUACGCGUAUACAUAAUAACACGAUUAUACUGUCAUCGAUGCUAUACUCAAUUAACUUAGUUUUGUUUGGACAAGAGGUGUAUAAACUUGGUGUAUAAAUUUCGCCUUGAGUGGUGAAAAAAACACGUGGAUCAAAGUUUGACACGAGAAUAGACAUUAUAACAUUUUCUGUGUUACGUUCAGCCAGCACCUUGGACUUUGUUUCGAUCGAUUGUAAUCGAUAAAUUAGAAUAAAAAGUUUAUCGGUCUCUCGAAUUGGAAUAAUUUAAAUAAAACCAAGCGGAUGAACAAUUUAUCGAUAAUUCUGCUCUUUAAUGCCACAAGUGCAUCCAGGUGUUGCAAUGUAAAAAAAAAAAAAACGUCGCGGAAUGUAACGUAAAGUGAAAUCGCUGCACGUGGCAGCCCUGUAAAAACUGGCGUAACCGCCGAUCUAAGAAACGAUCGCGGUUUUUGCGGUUGGCUCUUAUCAGAGCAGUUCCUGAACGUUCUGCUUGUAGGCUCGAGCGCUUAUCUCGGUAUAAUAGCAGAAAAGUAUUUAUGACGAAGCAAAACGAUUAUACACACAGUAAAAAAGACCCCAGAAUAUAUACAAAACGUAAAUAUGAUUUUCUUUUGAAUGCCGUAAGAAAUCCUCGAAGAAAUUCUUAAAAAAAAAAAAAUAUUAUAUGCUAAUAAAAAUGUCGUCGCC